GUGCGACCCCAGGAUGGGCGGGAUGACCCGCUGAGUUUAAGCAUAUCAAUAAGCGGAGGAGAAGAAACUUACGAGGAUUCCCCUA
This 85-nucleotide ribosomal RNA is filed under the name Disa rufescens. Its description in RNAcentral is "partial 25S ribosomal RNA". It matches the Rfam family "Eukaryotic large subunit ribosomal RNA", at positions 1 to 82 of the family's 3401-position model. The record is from RNAcentral. Lineage: Eukaryota; Viridiplantae; Streptophyta; Magnoliopsida; Asparagales; Orchidaceae.